CGGGCCCGGCGCCGCGAGGGAGCCUGGGGGUCAGCUUGCGGGCCCGGGACGGGAGGCCAGCCUCCAGGGCCCCUCCCGAGGAGGCUGACGCAGGGGAAAAGGGAGAAACAAGCCUUGGGGUGCGCACCCUCCCAAGACACUUUCCAGCUUCAAAGAGAAAAUCCAUUUUGCGAGCAUCUGGUUCUGACCUACUCGUGGACACGGCUCUAAGUGUCUUCGUCAGUCGAUUUCCUGUCUCUGAACAGAGAAAAGAGAGUUUGAGGACAGCCCCUCAGCUGCCGUGCCCAGGCCUGCCCAGAGUGGCCCCAGCUGCCCUCUCCCAGACCCUGCAGCCUGCCCAGCCUGCUGCCCCCUGCCCUGCCCAUGGCCCUGUGGGACACUCCCCUCCUCAGGC
This is a long non-coding RNA of Ovis aries (sheep), 394 nucleotides long. Lineage: Eukaryota; Metazoa; Chordata; Mammalia; Artiodactyla; Bovidae. The record is from Ensembl.